RNAcentral lists this ribosomal RNA (587 nucleotides) under uncultured bacterium. RNAcentral's name for it is "bacterial SSU rRNA". It matches the Rfam family "Bacterial small subunit ribosomal RNA", at positions 338 to 916 of the family's 1533-position model. The record is from RNAcentral.
CCUACGGGAGGCAGCAGUGGGGAAUUUUGGACAAUGGGGGCAACCCUGAUCCAGCCAUGCCGCGUGUGUGAAGAAGGCCUUCGGGUUGUAAAGCGCUUUCGGCCGGAACGAAAUCGCGCGACCUAAUAAGUCGCGUGGAUGACGGUACCGGAAGAAGAAGCACCGGCUAACUACGUGCCAGCAGCCGCGGUAAUACGUAGGGUGCGAGCGUUAAUCGGAAUUACUGGGCGUAAAGUGUGCGCAGGUGGCCGCGCAAGUCGAGUGUGAAAUCCCCGAGCUUAACUUGGGAAUUGCGCUCGAAACUACGUGGCUCGAGUGUGGCAGAGGAAGGUGGAAUUCCACGUGUAGCGGUGAAAUGCGUAGAGAUGUGGAGGAACACCGAUGGCGAAGGCAGCCUUCUGGGCCAACACUGACGCUCAUGCACGAAAGCGUGGGGAGCAAACAGGAUUAGAUACCCUGGUAGUCCACGCCCUAAACGAUGAUGACUAGUUGUUGGGGGAGUUAAAUCCCUUAGUAACGCAGCUAACGCGUGAAGUCAUCCGCCUGGGGAGUACGGUCGCAAGAUUAAAACUCAAAGGAAUUGACGG